Molecule: RNA transcript, 3522 nt
Organism: Spinacia oleracea (spinach)
Lineage: Eukaryota; Viridiplantae; Streptophyta; Magnoliopsida; Caryophyllales; Amaranthaceae
Exons: 6
Source: RefSeq, a predicted model, not a curated record
AGACCAUUUUCAAACUUCACUUCCCUAAUUACUUCCCUGUUCCCUCCCUCUCAGAACACUAAACUUGCCCAUCAAGACAGUCACUCAUUGCCACUCACCCCCACUGAGUCGAUGCUGCUGUUGCUACACUCUCUGGCGUCGCCACCACUACUGAUACACUCUUUGGCGUCGCCGCUUCUUCUCCCAAAGUACCCUGUCGUCGCUCCCUCCACUGAAGCACCAUCCUCGCUGUCACACUCGCGGUCAUACUUUCUUUCUCAUAGUAUCAUCAACACACCACCAUCAACGCAUCACGUCCACCACGACAUCUUCACUCUGACUCUUGUGUCCAACCUUCCCCGUCGCGCCGCACCACUAAUCGAGCCCUGAUUUCAGAUGGAUAACAAACAGAUGCCAGGUCAAGGAGUAAUGGAUAGGUUUCCUGAUGAUAUAAUAGCUCAGAUUUUGAUCAGGUUACCUGUCAAAUCAAUUCACCGUUUCAAAUGCGUUUCGAAAGUCUGGAAUUCCAUCAUCAAGAAUGGUCGUUUUGUAUCUUCGUAUAUCUCACUUCAUGGGCCUUCAUGGGUUAUUUUGGUUCGUAUGGUUCGAGUAGACACCAAGUCAAAUGCAAGGGUAACUCAGUUUGAUCUCCAAUACCCCCCGGAAGUGAGCUUCUUCCAAAUUGCUCCUUAUCAAAUGGCUGAUGAACCAUUUCUGGAAUCUGUAGAUGGAAAGCACCCAAGUAUCAUGCACUGUAGUAAUGGUGUCAUUCUGUUUCAAUUCAGAACCAAGAGAAAGCCUUAUGAACAUGAGACUUAAUGCUUAAUGGACAACCUUAUUUUGAUGAUAGAUUUGAGGAAGACGCUUUAUUGUAGCCAACCCGCUCACUGGUGAGUGGGUCCCAAUUCCGAAGCCUCCUUAUGCCGUUUUGCACGGGGGUGCUGUUGGGUUUAUUUCUCAGGUUGACUCAACUGGGAUUUUUGAGAGGUUUCUAGUUGUUGAAUAUCACCACUUAAUGGGUCAAAUGUUGCUACUUUAAUGUGUUUUUCUUCGGAAACUGGGAAAUGGGUGACAAAAUCUGCAAACUAUAUGCUAUAUAUGCAUCAAUAUGGGUGCGAUGGGGCUUUCGAGUUUGAUGGCAAGUUGUAUUGGGCUGAUAUGCAGUGUGGGUUAAUAGUGUGGGAUGACCCCUUUGGUGAUUUGGACAAGAAGGAAAAAGUUGAAUGCCGAUUUAUUCCAUCACCGGUGCAUUUCAAGGAUGUCUUAGUGGGUGGAGGGUUCAUUCAAUGUGUGCAAAUAUCUGGGGAGGGAGAGGGAUAUCGUGGUUUUUUAAGUUUGUGGAGGUUGAAGGAUAAUGGAGGUGAAGGAGAGUGGAGUUUGGCACAUAAAGUGUCAUUUUCUGACAUCUGGUCUGAUGAGAGUUAUUUAGCUUAUGGUUUGAGUGAAGUAAUUCCACGUUAUUGUUUUAUCCAUCCCUGGGAAGCUGAUAUUGUAUUCUUCCAUAUUCAAGGCCGGAUUUUUUCGUUGAAUGUUCGCACUAAAAAGGUGGAGAGUUGUGGAGAUGGUUACUCGAGUAUUAUUGAAUCUGUGUUUGUCAUCCCAUAUGUGCUGCCAAGUUGGCCAACAUCACUCCCUCCUUGUUUGACUGCUGGUAAUGCAAAAGAACAGGGCAAUAAAUAUUUCAAGGCUAAAAAAUUCAAUGAAGCUAUAACCUGCUACACCAGAAGCAUUGCUCUGUUACGAAAUGCUGUAGCUUAUGCUAAUAGGACGAUGGCAUAUAUCAUGGUCAGCAGAUUCCAUGAGGCUGAGGAUGAUUGUACACAGGCCUUGAACUUAGAUCCUCUGUACUUUAAAGGUUAUUGUCGCCGAGCAAUAGCUAAAAAGGAACUUGGUAAUCUUGAGGGAUCCAUGGAAGAUGUAGUGUCAUCCUUAGAGUUGAAACCAGAUAACAAACAAAUGAAGCAGAAAUAUGUUGAACUUAAGUCCUUGCUUGAGAAGGUACUCUUUUUGUUAUGUGAUGACUGGGAAAUGGUUGGAAGGAUGCCUAAAUACUUUGUAUGAAGUUGGAUGAACGCAUAGGAAUGAUUAUGAUUGUGCAGAUGUUUAGCUCCUUUCUAGUCCUAAACUUUGUCAAGUAAGGUGCCAAAUUUCAACACGUAGAAUACCCGCCAACAAUGCAAUAAAAAUUGCUUACGGCAUCUACUGAUGUCUGCUCCAAAGGAAAACUCGCGUAUAUUCAAUGGACAAAUUAUUCAGGAUCAACGUAUGGUUGUAUACUCUAAUUUUCAACCUUCAACACAAUUUUAAGAAUUUGUUUUUCGGCCAUCAAAAAAUAAUGUUCUUCAUAUGUGGGAGGCGGUUUCUUGCCUAAUUAGUCAUGUGGAGGAUAAAGUCACGUCCUUUUGCAAUUUUUAAUCACAAUUUUCUCCAUAAGUAACCAUUCACACACUAGAACACAAUUAAUUAAUUACUGUUAAACAAGCAAGCAGUUUUUGUUUUUUUUUCUGUGCAUCUGAUUUUGUGUUGUUUGAUUUCUACUCUUGUUUAUCUCUCUGUCACAUAAAUCACACCGACUUUUCUAUGGUUGUCUGAGUGUUCAACUACCAUGCUCAUUUUGUUUGUCUAUGGUUGUUGGCAUGAAAUUUCAAUUGUUUGUUAAACUAUGAUGUAUUAAGUUUAUGUUUAGGUGAUUGAGAACUUCCAUUGUCCAAAUCUGAAUACGGAGUAAUAUAGCUUCUGCUUAUGCUCUGUUGCAAUUCUGUUUUUCUUUUCAGUGUCUGACAUUGAUAAGCUCCUGUUCUUAUGGGUCUCAUGGAAGGUUUCAUUGUACUGAGCUUGUGCAUUAUUUGCUAUUGUUUGCAUUUUUGCACUUUGAUUUAUUUUGAAUGGUAAGAAUUAAUGUUGGUCUUCCUGGUGAAAAGGUUUCCAAUUCUCCAACUUGUUCUCCUUGCCACUCUUCAUUUGGUGUAUUGCUUUGGUCUUAAUUAAUCGUGGAGCAUUUAUCCUCCUUUUCGAUCUGUUUUUUCACAGCAAUGUUGCUUACAAUGUUUGAGUCUUAGCUACUCCACUAUGGACAAACAAUUUCUUGAGAAUUUACUAAUCUGACAAUGAUGAAAUAAUUUAGUCCUACCCUUUAUAUACUGGUGUUUAUGGUUUUUGCAGAAGACUGCAGAUUGUAAUAAAGCUUAAUCCCAAUCUAAUAAGAGAUGUUGGGUUAUUUCUGUGUUUAUAUUGGUAGGUCAAGUAUGAUAUUGUGUUGUUUUUGUUUACGUUGAGAGUGAUUGUAUUUGUAUGACAUUCUGUCUCUUUGCUAUACUGCAUAACAAAGGCACUGUCAUUUUCUUUCAUAAACAAUGUUUUAUGUUUGAGAAUAUUUCGAUUGUAGAGUUGUUCACUUCUAUGUUACUUGUGGUUUUGUGGUUCUUUUUAAACUAAUGUAAUGCAUUAACUAACUAUAUCCGUGUAUGAUUAUAUAUGACCUAAAAUGCAUUUGUUGCUGUCUAGCUACCUAUGCAGCAGCUGGUUUCGACUUUCUGAAAGUAU